GGGGAUGACAUGAUCUUCCUGCGCACGUGCGAGGGGGCAUUGAAGUGACGUUUGCGGUUUUUGCUGCGGUCCGAGGUCACGAAAGGAUUGAACUUCAUGGUGACCCUCUAUAAAGAGCAGAGAGAGACGGAAUGAAGCAUCAGGGUCUCGUGUCACUCAUACUGAAGUGAAGUGGUGCAAUCAUAGCUCACUGCCGCCUUGAAUUCCUGGGCUCAAGCAAUCCUCGCUCCUUAGCUUCCUGAGUACUGGGACUACAGGCCCGCACCACUGUGCUCGGCUGUUCAUCUACUUAACUCCUGGCCUCAAGAGAUCCUCCCCACCUCGGCCUCCCAAAGUGUUGGGAUUACAGGGGCACAAUGACAUCCUAGAUGACAAGAGCUGGAGGCACUCUGUAGUGGGACUGGCUGUCUUGUCUUACGCCCAGCCCUGGAAACAUGCGCAGGAACUGGUAUAGAAGCUCAAGCACCUACACAGAGGAAGUGUCUGGUUGUUUUAAAAGAAAAAUAACACCAGACAAGGCACUUCCUGCUCUGACCACUCUUAUUUCCAGUUUUCCCUUUUGGCACAGCAAAGAUGACCUUGGGACUGAGAUGGAACCAUGUUAAACUUCAUAAGCCCAGAGUCAGGCAGACCUGGGUUUGAAUUCCAUCUUUACUAAUUGCGUGACUCACUGUGUGGCCAUGACAAGUUACCAGGUCUCUCUGUUUCCUCCUUCCUAAAAGGGAGAUAACAUCCAUCUCGAAAAAAGAUCAGGCCCGAAGAGCAGUCACUCUUGCCUGGCACGCAGAGAAUGCCAAAUCCUAUCAAUGACUGGCCAGAAUGAAGCGCAUGACCUCAUCCCUACAUAACUGACAGGAAACAGCUGCUGGGGCAAGAAAAAAGCAUCUUCAGUAAGUGUCUUUGUCCACAAACAUCCUCACUCAUGUUCCUGGACUACUGCAUCUAUCUGCUGCAGCAGCUAAUGAACCUUCUGGAACUAAGUAUCCAUUUCUUAAGAAGGGAUUGAGACCUCCAGUGGCCUGCUGAAUUGUUUCUGGCAAGAAUUUAAAAAUUAUUUGUAACAUAUAGUAAUAAAAACUAACCACAAAAUGGGCACAGUGGCUCACACCUGUAAUCCCAACACUUUGGGAGGCUGAGGUGGGCGGAUUGCCUGAGGUCAGGAGUUCAAGACCAGCCUGACCAAUAUGGUGAAAGCUCGUCUCUCUUAAAAAUACAAAAAUUAGCCAGGCAUGGUGGUGGGCCCCUGUAAUCCCAGCUAUUCAGGAGGCUGAGACAGGAGAAUGGCUUGAACUCGGGAGGUGGAGGUUGCAGUAAACUGAGACUGGGCCACUGCACCGCACUCCAGCCCGGGCAACAGAGUAAGACUCCAUCUCAAAAAAAAAAGAAAAAGAAAAAAACCAACCACAGCUACUAUUAAUAAGCCCUAGUGCUACACCCUAUUUCUUCCCAGGUUUCACUCCCUCUCUAAUCCCUGCCCACCCCAGCCAGUGUUGACUGCAAUACUUCAGCUUCUCCCCUCAUGAAGCAUGUCUCCAGCGACACAUCUUCUGCAAUACCUUCCCAGGGAAGCCAUUUCUGCCUGGACCACCACAGCUCCCAACCUAUCACACACCUCUGUAGGGUUUUGCUCUAUAAUCCUGACUUAGAAAUCCUCUUACAUUGAAACCACUGCAAUCCACAUCUGAUUAGAAAAUUGGAAAAGUUCGUUGAAAGGAGAAAUAAAAAUGGCAUCCAUCCCUUGAAUGUAUGUCAACGUAAAACACAUUGGACAAUGACCCUGGGCUAAGGCUUUACCACUGAGAAACCUGUAUCCGUGUUCACCUUCAUUUUCUUCACAUAAACCAGCCAAAAA
Molecule: long non-coding RNA, 1852 nt
Organism: Callithrix jacchus (white-tufted-ear marmoset)
Lineage: Eukaryota; Metazoa; Chordata; Mammalia; Primates; Cebidae
Source: RefSeq, a predicted model, not a curated record